GUAAUAACCCCAAAAUAUUUUUUUUAUAUAAAAAAGGAUAGAAUAGUCAUUUAAAAUUGAUAUGAGGGGUAAAAUUGGAAGGAAUCAAAAGUUAAUGGCAUAAUAGUAGAUGCGUUGAAGUGUUAGGGGCAAAAAGGGAAGGAAUCAAAAGAUAAUGGCAUAAUUGCAGAUAUAUCGAAGUGGUAAGGGCAAAAUGGGAAAUUAAUAAUAUUAAACAAAGGUGAAUAGUGCUUUGAUGUGAUUUAAUUGGAGGGUUUGAGCUGGCUCACGGGAGUGAAACAGAGAGAAGAGGGGAAGGGUUCUCAGACGACACAGAGAGAAAGAAAAAGAGAAGAAGAAGAAGAAAAAAGAAGAAGGAAGAGGGAUUCGAGGUCGAAGGGAGUCCCGGUUGCACUUCCAGCUGAAGGGAAAAGUGUAGAUCUCCUUCUUCUCUACGCAGGGACCUCGAUUUCCAAAAAGAAAAAGGUAAAUAUCCGUCCCUAUCUAGUCUUUUGAUGACAUUAGGCUAUACAAAGGGUGGAUAUAAUCUAGAGGGGUCGGAUAAGGGUUGUAGAGGUGGUUAAAAGAGGAAGAAUCGGAUUUUAACAAAUUUUUCCGGCACUACGGAAAAACUGUGUCGAAGUCCCAACUUCGGUGAAUUAUUUAGGGGGUCAAAUGGCCUCCGAUGAUGAUGCAUGUUAUCUCUUUGGAAUCCUCUAUGAGUGUAGAAUGUUAGGUAAAAAUUUCAUCAAAUUUGGAGUCCUGAAAGUGGAUCAAAAUUGGGAUGAAGUAACCCACUGUCAGUUCGGGUUACUGUUUAUCCAGGUGGAAAAUAAGGGAUUUCAUGCCAUAAUAGGGUAUUAAGCCUAGAUUAGGCUAAAGGAGACCUUGUACUCGUGCAAGGGAGUCCCUAAUACACAUAAAUGAUGAGUUAAUUAAUAGAAAAAGAAAAAGAGAAAGAAAAGAAAAGAUUUAGGGAACGGAGGAGUUGAAUCAAUUAAAGUUCCCUAUAUUAUAAUUGGCACGUAGAUUAUGACCUUGAUACAAAACUAAAUGUAUUAUAAAUGCAUGUCACAGUUGGGCAAGAAGUUAGGGAGCAAGAAGAAGAAGCCCCUACUGCCUACCAUAAAGUUUUGGAGGCGUAUCAGGGCUGUGCCAGAUUGACAGGUGAGUGGGAGUCAUGUACUUUGCACCAUGAGCAUUCCUUAUUCAUUUUCAUGAAUGUUGCCAGUGUGACUUGAUUCCACCUAAGCCUAUUGAUUAAUUGUUGUUGUAGAUUCCUCUAUAUUUUGUUCUUCAUACUUGAUUAUUCUGUACAUGCAUUCGAGGGAACAUUGAGAGGAAUUACG
This 1328-nucleotide long non-coding RNA is filed under the name Phoenix dactylifera (date palm). RNAcentral's name for it is "long non-coding RNA (PDAC_LNC013521)". Lineage: Eukaryota; Viridiplantae; Streptophyta; Magnoliopsida; Arecales; Arecaceae. The record is from RNAcentral.